RNAcentral lists this ribosomal RNA (2913 nucleotides) under Enterococcus faecium. Its description in RNAcentral is "23S ribosomal RNA". It matches the Rfam family "Bacterial large subunit ribosomal RNA". The record is from RNAcentral. Lineage: Bacteria; Bacillati; Bacillota; Bacilli; Lactobacillales; Enterococcaceae.
UUAAGUGAAUAAGGGCGCACGGUGGAUGCCUUGGCACUAGGAGCCGAUGAAGGACGGGACUAACACCGAUAUGCUUUGGGGAGCUGUACGUAAGCUAUGAUCCAGAGAUUUCCGAAUGGGGGAACCCAGCAUCUUUAAUAGGAUGUUACGAUUGUGUGAAUACAUAGCACAUUCGAGGUAGACGCAGAGAACUGAAACAUCUAAGUACCUGCAGGAAGAGAAAGAAAAUUCGAUUCCCUGAGUAGCGGCGAGCGAAACGGGAAAAGCCCAAACCAGCAAGCUUGCUUGUUGGGGUUGUAGGACUCCAAUAUGGUAGUUCUUUCAGAUAGUCGAAUGACUUGGAAAAGUCAGUCAAAGAGGGUAAAAACCCCGUAGACGAAAUGUGGAAGACACCUAGGAGGAUCCUGAGUACGGCGGAACACGAGAAAUUCCGUCGGAAUCCGGGAGGACCAUCUCCCAAGGCUAAAUACUCCCUAGUGACCGAUAGUGAACCAGUACCGUGAGGGAAAGGUGAAAAGCACCCCGGAAGGGGAGUGAAAUAGAACCUGAAACCGUGUGCCUACAACAAGUCAAAGCCCGUUAAUGGGUGAUGGCGUGCCUUUUGUAGAAUGAACCGGCGAGUUACGAUUGCAUGCGAGGUUAAGUUGAAGAGACGGAGCCGCAGCGAAAGCGAGUCUGAAUAGGGCGUUUGAGUAUGUAGUCGUAGACCCGAAACCAUGUGAUCUACCCAUGUCCAGGUUGAAGGUGCGGUAAAACGCACUGGAGGACCGAACCCACGUACGUUGAAAAGUGCGGGGAUGAGGUGUGGGUAGCGGAGAAAUUCCAAACGAACUUGGAGAUAGCUGGUUCUCUCCGAAAUAGCUUUAGGGCUAGCCUCGGAAUUGAGAAUGAUGGAGGUAGAGCACUGUUUGGACUAGGGGCCCAUCUCGGGUUACCGAAUUCAGAUAAACUCCGAAUGCCAUUCAUUCAUAUCCGGGAGUCAGACUGUGAGUGAUAAGAUCCAUAGUCGAAAGGGAAACAGCCCAGACCACCAGCUAAGGUCCCAAAAUAUAUGUUAAGUGGAAAAGGAUGUGGGGUUGCACAGACAACUAGGAUGUUGGCUUAGAAGCAGCCAUCAUUUAAAGAGUGCGUAAUAGCUCACUAGUCGAGUGACCCUGCGCCGAAAAUGUACCGGGGCUAAACAUAUUACCGAAGCUGUGGAGUACACCUUUAGGUGUAUUGGUAGGAGAGCGUUCUAAGGGCGUUGAAGGCAGAUCGUGAGGACUGCUGGAGCGCUUAGAAGUGAGAAUGCCGGUAUGAGUAGCGAAAGACAGGUGAGAAUCCUGUCCACCGAAUGACUAAGGUUUCCUGGGGAAGGCUCGUCCGCUCAGGGUUAGUCGGGACCUAAGCCGAGGCCGACAGGCGUAGGCGAUGGAUAACAGGUUGAUAUUCCUGUACCCGUUGUUUUUGUUUGAGCAAUGGAGGGACGCAGGAGGCUAAGGAAUGCAGACGAUCGGAAAUGUCUGUCCAAGCAGUAAGUCUGAAGAGGAGUCAAAUGCUUCUUUUCUUAAGGACAAGCUGUGAUGGGGAGGGAAAUAAUAGUACCGAAGUUCCUGAUGUCACACUGCCGAGAAAAGCUUCUAGUGAGAAAACAGCGGCCCGUACCGCAAACCGACACAGGUAGUCGAGGAGAGAAUCCUAAGGUGAGCGAGAGAACUCUCGUUAAGGAACUCGGCAAAAUGACCCCGUAACUUCGGGAGAAGGGGUGCUGAUCAUACGAUCAGCCGCAGUGAAUAGGCCCAAGCGACUGUUUAUCAAAAACACAGGUCUCUGCAAAAUCGUAAGAUGAAGUAUAGGGGCUGACGCCUGCCCGGUGCUGGAAGGUUAAGAGGAGUGCUUAGCGCAAGCGAAGGUACGAAUUGAAGCCCCAGUAAACGGCGGCCGUAACUAUAACGGUCCUAAGGUAGCGAAAUUCCUUGUCGGGUAAGUUCCGACCCGCACGAAAGGCGUAACGAUUUGGGCACUGUCUCAACGAGAGACUCGGUGAAAUUUUAGUACCUGUGAAGAUGCAGGUUACCCGCGACAGGACGGAAAGACCCCAUGGAGCUUUACUGUAGUUUGAUAUUGAGUGUCUGUACCGCAUGUACAGGAUAGGUAGGAGCCGUAGAAAUCGGAACGCUAGUUUCGAUGGAGGCGCUGGUGGGAUACUACCCCUGCGUUAUGGCCACUCUAACCCGCACCACUAAUCGUGGUGGGAGACAGUGUCAGAUGGGCAGUUUGACUGGGGCGGUCGCCUCCUAAAAGGUAACGGAGGCGCCCAAAGGUUCCCUCAGAAUGGUUGGAAAUCAUUCGAAGAGUGUAAAGGCAGAAGGGAGCUUGACUGCGAGACCAACAAGUCGAGCAGGGACGAAAGUCGGGCUUAGUGAUCCGGUGGUUCCGCAUGGAAGGGCCAUCGCUCAACGGAUAAAAGCUACCCUGGGGAUAACAGGCUUAUCUCCCCCAAGAGUCCACAUCGACGGGGAGGUUUGGCACCUCGAUGUCGGCUCGUCGCAUCCUGGGGCUGUAGUCGGUCCCAAGGGUUGGGCUGUUCGCCCAUUAAAGCGGCACGCGAGCUGGGUUCAGAACGUCGUGAGACAGUUCGGUCCCUAUCCGUCGCGGGCGUUGGAAAUUUGAGAGGAGCUGUCCUUAGUACGAGAGGACCGGGAUGGACUUACCGCUGGUGUACCAGUUGUUCUGCCAAGGGCAUUGCUGGGUAGCUAUGUAGGGAAGGGAUAAACGCUGAAAGCAUCUAAGUGUGAAGCCCACCUCAAGAUGAGAUUUCCCAUUUCUUUAAGAAAGUAAGAUCCCUGAGAGAUGAUCAGGUAGAUAGGUCAGGAGUGGAAGUACAGUGAUGUAUGGAGCGGACUGAUACUAAUCGAUCGAGGACUUAACCAA